This 75-nucleotide transfer RNA is filed under the name Bacillus phage Kioshi. Its description in RNAcentral is "tRNA-Gly". It matches the Rfam family "tRNA". Rfam says of the family: Transfer RNA (tRNA) molecules are approximately 80 nucleotides in length. Their secondary structure includes four short double-helical elements and three loops (D, anti-codon, and T loops). Further hydrogen bonds mediate the characteristic L-shaped molecular structure. tRNAs have two regions of fundamental functional importance: the anti-codon, which is responsible for specific mRNA codon recognition, and the 3' end, to which the tRNAs corresponding amino acid is attached (by aminoacyl-tRNA synthetases). tRNAs cope with the degeneracy of the genetic code in two manners: having more than one tRNA (with a specific anti-codon) for a particular amino acid; and 'wobble' base-pairing, i.e. permitting non-standard base-pairing at the 3rd anti-codon position. Lineage: Duplodnaviria; Heunggongvirae; Uroviricota; Caudoviricetes; Herelleviridae. The record is from RNAcentral.
GGGGCAUUGGUAUAUUGGCUAUUACUCUUGGCUUCCAACCAAGCAAGGUCGGUUCGAUUCCGACAUGUCCCUCCA